This 324-nucleotide small RNA is filed under the name uncultured bacterium. RNAcentral's name for it is "bacterial SSU rRNA". It matches the Rfam family "Bacterial small subunit ribosomal RNA", at positions 69 to 357 of the family's 1533-position model. The record is from RNAcentral.
ACUUGCGGGAGCUUGCUCCCAAAAGUUAGCGGCGGACGGGUGAGUAACACGUGGGCAACCUGCCUAUAAGACUGGGAUAACUUCGGGAAACCGGAGCUAAUACCGGAUCAUUCUUUUCUACGCAUGUAGGAAAGCUGAAAGACGGCUUACGCUGUCACUUAUAGAUGGGCCCGCGGCGCAUUAGCUAGUUGGUGAGGUAUUUUCUCACCAAGGCCAGGAUACGUAGCCGACCUGAGAGGGUGAUCGGCCACACUGGGACUGACUUCUGGCCCAGAGAACUACGGGAGGCAGCAGUCGAGCUUGCUGUAACUCGACGCCAUCCGG